RNAcentral lists this ribosomal RNA (1021 nucleotides) under uncultured bacterium. Its description in RNAcentral is "bacterial SSU rRNA". It matches the Rfam family "Bacterial small subunit ribosomal RNA", at positions 1 to 983 of the family's 1533-position model. The record is from RNAcentral.
UUAGAGUUUGAUCCUGGCUCAGGACGAACGCUGGCGGCGUGCCUAAUACAUGCAAGUCGAACGCGUCCCGGUUGAUGAGGUUGAGUGCUUGCACUUGAUUAAUUCAACUUGGUGACGAGUGGCGAACUGGUGAGUAACACGUGGGUAACCUGCCCCGAAGCGGGGGAUAACAUUUGGAAACAGGUGCUAAUACCGCAUAACAACCAAAACCUCCUGGUUUUGGUUUAAAAGACGGCUUCGGCUGUCACUUUGGGAUGGACCCGCGGCGUAUUAGCUAGUUGGUGAGGUAACGGCUCACCAAGGCGAUGAUACGUAGCCGACCUGAGAGGGUAAUCGGCCACAUUGGGACUGAGACACGGCCCAAACUCCUACGGGAGGCAGCAGUAGGGAAUCUUCCACAAUGGACGCAAGUCUGAUGGAGCAACGCCGCGUGAGUGAUGAAGGGUUUCGGCUCGUAAAACUCUGUUGUUGGAGAAGAACGGGUGUCAGAGUAACUGUUGACAUCGUGACGGUAUCCAACCAGAAAGCCACGGCUAACUACGUGCCAGCAGCCGCGGUAAUACGUAGGUGGCAAGCGUUGUCCGGAUUUAUUGGGCGUAAAGCGAGCGCAGGCGGUUUUUUAGGUCUGAUGUGAAAGCCUUCGGCUUAACCGGAGAAGUGCAUCGGAAACCGGGAGACUUGAGUGCGGAAGAGGACAGUGGAACUCCAUGUGUAGCGGUGAAAUGCGUAGAUAUAUGGAAGAACACCAGUGGCGAAGGCGGCUGUCUGGUCUGCAACUGACGCUGAGGCUCGAAAGCAUGGGUAGCGAACAGGAUUAGAUACCCUGGUAGUCCAUGCCGUAAACGAUGAGUGCUAAGUGUUGGAGGGUUUCCGCCCUUCAGUGCUGCAGCUAACGCAUUAAGCACUCCGCCUGGGGAGUACGACCGCAAGGUUGAAACUCAAAGGAAUUGACAGGGGCCCGCACAAGCGGUGGAGCAUGUGGUUUAAUUCGAUGCUACGCGAAGAACCUUACCAGGUCUUG